CCUACGGGGGGCUGCAGUGGGGAAUAUUGGACAAUGGGCGAAAGCCUGAUCCAGCCAUGCCGCGUGUGUGAAGAAGGCCUUCGGGUUGUAAAGCACUUUCAGUGGGGAAGAAAGCCUUGGGGCUAAUACCCUCGAGGAAGGACAUCACCCACAGAAGAAGCACCGGCUAACUUCGUGCCAGCAGCCGCGGUAAUACGGAGGGUGCGAGCGUUAAUCGGAAUUACUGGGCGUAAAGCGCGCGUAGGCGGUCUGAUAAGCCGGUUGUGAAAGCCCCGGGCUCAACCUGGGAACGGCAUCCGGAACGGUCAGGCUAGAGUGCAGGAGAGGAAGGUAGAAUUCCCGGUGUAGCGGUGAAAUGCGUAGAGAUCGGGAGGAAUACCAGUGGCGAAGGCGGCCUUCUGGACUGACACUGACGCUGAGGUGCGAAAGCGUGGGUAGCAAACAGGAUUAGAUACCCCAGUAGUC
Molecule: ribosomal RNA, 465 nt
Filed under: Vreelandella stevensii
Lineage: Bacteria; Pseudomonadati; Pseudomonadota; Gammaproteobacteria; Oceanospirillales; Halomonadaceae
Description: partial 16S ribosomal RNA
Rfam family: Bacterial small subunit ribosomal RNA
Source: RNAcentral